RNAcentral lists this ribosomal RNA (310 nucleotides) under uncultured eukaryote. Its description in RNAcentral is "partial 18S ribosomal RNA". It matches the Rfam family "Eukaryotic small subunit ribosomal RNA", at positions 1470 to 1796 of the family's 1831-position model. The record is from RNAcentral.
CCCUUAGAUGUUCUGGGCGGCCCGCGCACUACAAUGGCGCUUUCAGCGAGUUCCUAUGUUGAAUUUUCCUGGGUAUUCUUGGAAGCGGCGUCUUGACUUGGGAUAGAUCCUUGUAAUUGUUGGUUUUGAACGAGGAAUUCCUUGUAAUCGCGGUUGAUCAGCUCGCGUUGAAUACGUCCCUGCCCUUUGUACACACCGCCCGUCGCCCCUACCGAUGAAUCGUCCGGUGAAGUUCACAGAGUGGCGGUUCGUGGAGUUGCUCGCGAAGUGAAAUGGACCUCACGAUUUAGAGGAAGGAGAAGUCGUAACA